RNAcentral lists this transfer RNA (65 nucleotides) under Echyridella menziesii. Its description in RNAcentral is "tRNA-Pro". The record is from RNAcentral. Lineage: Eukaryota; Metazoa; Mollusca; Bivalvia; Unionida; Hyriidae.
CAGAAAAUAGUUUAUCCAAAAUAAGAGCUUUGGGAGCUUUAGAAUUAGUUUUACUAACUUUCUGA